CCUACGGGGGGCAGCAGUGAGGAAUAUUGGUCAAUGGGCGAGAGCCUGAACCAGCCAAGUCGCGUGAAGGAUGAAGGAUCUAUGGAUUGUAAACUUCUUUUAUAUGGGAAUAAAGUGAGGAACGUGUUACAUUUUGUAUGUACCAUAUGAAUCAGCAUAGGCUAACUCCGUGCCAGCAGCCGCGGUAAUACGGAGGAUGCGAGCGUUAGCCGGAUUUAUUGGGUUUAAAGGGUGCGUAGGUGGUUAAUUAAGUCAGCGGUGAAAGUUUGUGGCUCAACCCUAAAAUUGCCGUUGAAACUGGUUGGCUUGAGGAGAUGUGAGGUAGGCGGGAUGCGUGGUGGAGCGGUGAAAUGCAUAGAUAUCACGCAGAACUCCGAUUGCGAAGGCAGCUUACUAAACUAUAACUGACACUGAAGCACGAAAGCGUGGGGAUCAAACAGGAUUAGAUACCCUUGUAGUC
RNAcentral lists this ribosomal RNA (460 nucleotides) under uncultured bacterium. Its description in RNAcentral is "partial 16S ribosomal RNA". It matches the Rfam family "Bacterial small subunit ribosomal RNA", at positions 338 to 795 of the family's 1533-position model. The record is from RNAcentral.